Urocitellus parryii (Arctic ground squirrel) is the source of this 73-nucleotide non-coding RNA. NCBI's taxonomy places the organism in Eukaryota, Metazoa, Chordata, Mammalia, Rodentia, Sciuridae. The record is from the annotation of a RefSeq genome assembly.
GGGGAUGUAGCUCAGUUGGUAGAGUGCUUGCCUUGCAUGCACAAGGCCCUGGGUUCAAUCCCCAGCAUCACCA